Molecule: non-coding RNA, 82 nt
Organism: Podarcis lilfordi (Lilford's wall lizard)
Lineage: Eukaryota; Metazoa; Chordata; Lepidosauria; Squamata; Lacertidae
Source: the annotation of a GenBank genome assembly
AAGGUCAUAGCUCAGUGGUAGAGCACCUGCUCUUCAUCCAAAAGGUCCCAGCUUCAAUCCUCGGCAGAUCCUGGUGGUGUUG